AUACGUAGGGUGCGAGCGUUGUCCGGAAUUACUGGGCGUAAAGAGCUCGUAGGUGGUUUGUCGCGGCGUCUGUGAAAUUCCGGGGCUUAACUCCGGGCGUGCAGGCGAUACGGGCAUAACUUGAGUACUGUAGGGGAGACUGGAAUUCCUGGUGUAGCGGUGAAAUGCGCAGAUAUCAGGAGGAACGCCGGUGGCGAAGGCGGGUCUCUGGGCAGUAACUGACGCUGAGGAGCGAAAGCAUGGGUAGCGAACAGGAUUAGAUACCCUGGUAGUCCAUGCCGUAAACGGUGGGCGCUAGGUGUAGGGGUCUUCCACGACUUCUGUGCCGUAGCUAACGCAUUAAGCGCCCCGCCUGGGGAGUACGGCCGCAAGGCUAAAACUCAAAUGAAUUGACGGGG
RNAcentral lists this ribosomal RNA (398 nucleotides) under uncultured bacterium. RNAcentral's name for it is "partial 16S ribosomal RNA". It matches the Rfam family "Bacterial small subunit ribosomal RNA", at positions 523 to 918 of the family's 1533-position model. The record is from RNAcentral.